Molecule: transfer RNA, 85 nt
Filed under: bacterium
Lineage: Bacteria
Description: tRNA-Ser
Source: RNAcentral
ACGUGGUACGUUUUAGGGCAAUUUUACGCAUAAACAUAUCGGCCUUCUAAGCCGAGGGUUCCGGGUUCGAGCCCCGGCGGGCGUA